UUUUAUUUAUCAGAGCAAGCGAGUUGAGAUGCCUGCAGGAUAACUGGUCCUGGCUUGAGAAACACAAAUGAGGAAAGGGAGAGAAGAGACCGUUCUGAUCCUGUUUUGAAAUGACUUUUUCCAUUUCACUCUUAGAGCAUCAAGGCACAGCCUGCUAUGGGCCACUCAUCAGAGGACAGAAAGACCAACCUGCCAUCCUGGCACAGCUUGAGAACAGUGAGCUCCUGUGCAUGCCUCAAAAUGCCAGUUAAACUGAAAUCUUCAUGUUCUCCAGAUGCAGCCCUUUGAGAGUCACAUAAGAAAUAUUUCCUGAAACCAAGAGGUGCCUGGCAUGAGGUGAAGUCUUCAAUUAUCUCAUCUAAUUUGAACGUGAAACAAUUCUGAAAGGUUACAAUCGCUCCAAACUAUCUCCUUGGACCCACCAGGGGUGAGGAUGGAUGCUCCCACCUGGCCUGCUGCGGUACACUGACUCUAACCUCAGAGAUCACCAGUCAGAGAAUGCUGGCUAUUUGUCUUCCAAGAGGAAGGAGGAUGAGUAUUCACUUGGAUUUCUUCUUAAAUACUGAAGCUGAAUGUGAAGAACCAAUUCCAGGGCUAAAAUUGGUCUCUGGGAAGAGGAAGUGCUGUUUCUGCCAUGGCCAUCCCAAGUCCAUUACGCAUGCCAGAGCAACAACAAUAUUCAUUACCAACCUGCCUCCCCACAAACUAAAGGAACUACAUGAUCACACCUGCAACACAUCCUUCUCAUUCCUGAGAAGGGCUAGGUGAUGCAGAUGGAAGUGGAAUUCCACAGCAUCACUUCCUUUGUAGACCAUUAAAAUGCAACAGAUGCCAUUCUCACUGAAAUGUUUGUGGAAAAGUUCAAGCAGUUUUCAAAGUAUUGAUAUGGACCAGUGACAUCAAUACCAUCCAAGAACUUGCUGGAAUGAAAAGUGGGGGAACCUCUCUUCCAACGUAGAGUCAGAAACUCUAUGCAUGGGACCAAAAAAUCUUCAUAACAAGUCUAAGAUGACUGAGAUGUGCUCCCAGCUGAGAAGGACCUCACAGCGCGGAACCGCCUUCUGUCUGACUCUUAUAAUUUUUUUGAAAGACAAUGGAUGUCAAUAACACUUAGAAACCACCACCCCAUUGCCAACUUUGUAU
Molecule: long non-coding RNA, 1143 nt
Filed under: Heterocephalus glaber (naked mole-rat)
Lineage: Eukaryota; Metazoa; Chordata; Mammalia; Rodentia; Bathyergidae
Description: lncRNA (ENSHGLG00000038091.1)
Source: RNAcentral